AGUGAACGCUGGCGGUAGGCCUAACACAUGCGAGUCGAACGGCAGCACAGGAGAGCUUGCUCUCUAGGUGGCGAGUGGCGGACGGGUGAGGAAUACAUCGGAAUCUGCCCAGUCGUGGGGGAUAACGUAGGGAAACUUACGCUAAUACCGCAUACGACCUUCGGGUGAAAGAGGGGGAUCGCAAGACCUCUCGCGAUUGGAUGAGCCGAUGUCGGAUUAGCUAGUUGGCGGGGUAAUGGCCCACCAAGGCGACGAUCCGUAGCUGGUCUGAGAGGAUGAUCAGCCACACUGGAACUGAGACACGGUCCAGACUCCUACGGGAGGCAGCAGUGGGGAAUAUUGGACAAUGGGCGCAAGCCUGAUCCAGCCAUACCGCGUGGGUGAAGAAGGCCUUCGGGUUGUAAAGCCCUUUUGUUGGGAAAGAAAUCUUUCAGGCUAAUACCCUGGGAGGAUGACGGUACCCAAAGAAUAAGCACCGGCUAACUUCGUG
Molecule: ribosomal RNA, 490 nt
Filed under: uncultured bacterium
Lineage: Bacteria
Description: partial 16S ribosomal RNA
Rfam family: Bacterial small subunit ribosomal RNA
Source: RNAcentral